AUGCUUUAAAGAUUAAAACAAAGUUUUAUCUCUACUAUAGAUGCAAGAAAAAGAAGACCCUCGCUCUUUCUAUCUGUCUGGUUGUGGCAGCCAAGUUUGAAGGGGGAAUACAGGA
This 115-nucleotide small nucleolar RNA is filed under the name Dasypus novemcinctus (nine-banded armadillo). Its description in RNAcentral is "Small nucleolar RNA SNORA31 (ENSDNOG00000034486.1)". Lineage: Eukaryota; Metazoa; Chordata; Mammalia; Cingulata; Dasypodidae. The record is from RNAcentral.